GGAGUUUGGGCCGUGUCUCAGUCCCAAUGUGGCCGAUCACUCUCUCAAGUCGGCUACUGAUCGUUGUCUUGGUAGGCCGUUACCCUGCCAACUAGCUAAUCAGACGCGGGUCCAUCCUGUACCACCGGAGUUUUUCACACUGUACCAUGCGGUACUGUGCGCUUAUGCGGUAUUAGCAGUCAUUUCUAACUGUUAUCCCCCUGUACAGGGCAGGUUACCCACGCGUUACUCACCCGUCCGCCACUCAGUCAGUAAAUCGUCACCCCGAAGGGAUCGUAAUAAACUGCUUCGUUCGACUUGCAUGUGUUAAGCACGCCGCCAGCGUUCAUC
RNAcentral lists this ribosomal RNA (330 nucleotides) under uncultured Anaerostipes sp. RNAcentral's name for it is "partial 16S ribosomal RNA". The record is from RNAcentral. Lineage: Bacteria; Bacillati; Bacillota; Clostridia; Lachnospirales; Lachnospiraceae.